GCCAAAAAUCGCAAGAUUUCGGUAUUCAAAUUAUGGGUUCUCUCAGACUUCACAAUUGUUAGAUCUGGGUUCUCUUCAGACUUCACAAUCCGCCAGAAAACUCAAGCAAAACUUGGUUGUCGUUCUGAUUUGAAGAAAUUUCAAACCCAUGAAAGCUCGGGUUUCCUGCUUUUGGUAUGCUGCGGAUGUUGGUUUAUUGCUCUUUGCAUACACUUUGCCUUUGAGCUACUAAGUACGUCAAGGACAAUUUACCUGUACGCUUAUGAUGAAAGAUAGAAAGGACUCCUUCAACAUGGAACAUAGAGAUGUGAUUAGAGUUCCUGCUGGGCUUCUAUUUACUUAAUUAACAAUAACAAUGAUGAACCUCUUCACAUUGCAAAGCUCAUCCGUUCUGUUAACAGUUCUGGACGAUUUGAGGAAUUCUGCCCUGCUGGUUUUGGAAAUCCCAAGUCAUACUUCAACAUUUCAGCGAUGACAUUAUUGAAUCUGCCUUCAAUACCCCAAGAAAAGAGCCAAAGCAGGACUUUAGACAACAAAGGGGCAAACAAAGGGGUCAAGGCAUAGUCAUGAGCUCCCCAAAAGAGCAACUUGAGGCACUAUUUGGCUAAUCACCUAGGAUUGGUACCUGUAACCACUGCACAUGUACAGUUUCUUUUUAUAUUACCUUGAAUUGAUGACAAAUAGUGCUUUUUUUCUCUGCCACGAUUCUUUUUGGUUCCAUGACUUCCAACAUCUACAAUGCCAUCUCUAUCAUAAUUAAUUCAUUUACGCUUGCCUUCUAUAAAAUGGAAUCCACGCUAUGAAAAUUGCCUUCA
Non-coding RNA from Malus domestica (apple), 815 nucleotides. The record is from RefSeq and is a predicted model, not a curated record. NCBI's taxonomy places the organism in Eukaryota, Viridiplantae, Streptophyta, Magnoliopsida, Rosales, Rosaceae.